Long non-coding RNA from Juglans microcarpa x Juglans regia, 735 nucleotides. RefSeq lists it as uncharacterized. The transcript is spliced from 4 exons. The record is from RefSeq and is a predicted model, not a curated record. NCBI's taxonomy places the organism in Eukaryota, Viridiplantae, Streptophyta, Magnoliopsida, Fagales, Juglandaceae.
AACAGAGCGGUCAAAUUAUAGGAGGGAAAAGAAAGACGACAGGGGCAGUGAUAAGGCGGCAAAAGCGGCAUACUCUUAAAAAAAAUUUCUCAGUUUUUUACACUCGCUUUCACAUCCCCAGCUCUCUCCCUCUCUCCCAAGUUCUCUUUCCCUGAUGUGGGCUUCAUACGAAUCUCACUUUCUAACGUGCAGCAAGCGAAACACUUGACAGUGUGGAAACCAUGAUUGACAUCUCUCCUCCUGGUGAUUGUGUGAAAUGGUUGCCAGAGGCUUGAAAGUACAGAUCCAAUACUAAAAGCAAAAUUAGCUACACACUUACAGUGAGGCUCUUUCGGCAUGCAGUUGACAUUACUCCACAGGUGUGCCACAGUACCGGAGGCCGCCGAAGCGGCAUCUGCGAGGGCCAAGAGAUGGCCGAAAGUUGGGUGAAUUGCAACAUGCAACUAACCUACCUGUUUGAGAGCCUUCUGUAAAACUAGAAAAUGUCUCUGAUCCCAACCAAGUUGCUCUCUCAAUCUGGUUUCCUUGUCCAUCUGUGUAGAUCGGUGUGGGUCUCGGUAGAUGGGGCUUAACUGGGGUUGUUGGAAUCCAAGAACCCUGAACUUGUAAUCCAUCUUCAUCCGGUUUUCUCGCAUCCAUUCCUUGUCUUCAGAAGUACAAAGCUUGAAAUUUUAACUCUUGUUUCUCUAUCCUUCGUCUUCUACCCUUUAUAAGCAACAACUUUCCCAGGUUGCU